GUGAACGGUCAAGGAGAGUCAGGAGCAGGGGGAGGAGACCAAGGCACGAGCUGGAGAAGGAACAGGGGAUGAUGGGCUUGUGACAUCUUCUCUCAAAGGGAACAGUGACCGGUACACCUGAAACCUUGGUCAAAUCUUUGAGCACCUGCCAAUCUCAAUGACAAAAAUUAAGUAGCAAAACCUACCUUCUGAUCCUGAGACGAUUCGAUGAUGCAGUCAUGGAGCGUGGACAGUGGAAGACCCACUCAUGUUCCUGUUUGGAGGAAACCCAAAGAAAGCUGUACUGUUGCUACAGCUAUAAGACGUAGAUUGGCUUCUCGAUGGCAUUUUGUUGCUGGUUUUUUGUUUGUUGUUUUUUCAGAGAGAAUCCACUAAUUCCAUCUUAUGCCUAUGCGUGAUUGGGCAUUCGUAUGAUUUAUCUUCCUACUUUUGCAAAUCUAUGUGAGUCCUUGGUUUUAAUUCUUUAGAUAAGAGGCUGAGGACCUGGGAAACCCUGUCCUUCUUAAAGAUAGAAUUAUAAGUGUAUGUAGCUCAAAACACACUAUUAAAAAUGUUUUCUUUCUGUUCUUGGACUUUG
Non-coding RNA from Myodes glareolus (Bank vole), 577 nucleotides. The record is from RefSeq and is a predicted model, not a curated record. Lineage: Eukaryota; Metazoa; Chordata; Mammalia; Rodentia; Cricetidae.